CCAUCCUGUUUGCUUUGCUUGGCCUUUGGAGAGGAAUUGAAUAUUCUCAUCUAAUGGAGCAAACACACACUAUCUCUCGCGUUCUAGAGAAGAGUUUAGAAAUGUGGGGUUGGAACUAAGAGACUCAGGAGAGAGAGAGAGAGAGAGAGAGAGAGAGCACAAAUAGGUGGAAUGGCAGAGGGGGAAGGAGGAGCAGGCUCCCCGCUGAACAAGGAGCCCAGAGUGAGACUUGAUCUCAGGACCUGGGGAUCAUGACCUGAGCCGAAGCCAGAUGCUUAACCAACUGAGCCACCGAGCUCUGCUAGGUCCUGGGUUGUCUAUGGGAGCAGCCUUGUGAUCACUGAACACAGCUUGGCUAAAGGAGGAACACGUCUGUGAUGAGGACGACUUGGAUAAGGCUCUGUUAAGUCCUGGGAAGCAGCGCCCUGAGAAGGGUCAGACAUGCAUUGUUUGCAUCCAUGAGCGUGGCUGUGCUUCUGCUCUUCAGGAGGAAGAGAGGAGAUAUAAUCGAUAGAAGAAGAAGAAGAAGAAGAGAGAAAAGGAAAGAAGAAAAGAAAAGAAAGAAAAGAGAAAAGAAAAGAAAAAGAAAAGAAAAGAAAAGAAAAGAAAAGAAAAGAAAAGAAAAGAAAAAAAAGAAAAGAAGAGAAAGAAGAAAAGUUGGGACCACAGAAACCUGGAGCUCCAGCGCUGAGCACGUCACAGGUCCCGUCCUUCAUGAAUCGGGUGGAGGAGUUUAAUUACAGCCACAGAGGAGCUGUGCGCCAGAGCUGGGAAGGAAAGGAGAGCCUUUCUCAGGAAGUCCCAUCGCUUGGCUGAGGUUGGGGGCUGCCUGCGUGGAGAGAUAAGCCUCGCUGACAAACCAAGAGCAGCUUCAGUUCGUUGGUUUUCUGCAAGCUGAACCUCUGGGCUCGGGGCAAACGCCAGAGAAAGCCCCUGCACCCUCCUUUAUUGCAAAAUAACAUCAGCUUUCACUUCACUGUCCACAGUCUAUACAGAUCCCUUGAACAAACAGGUCUAUUGUUGGUUCGUUAAUGAGCACGUAAGGAGCACAUCCUAUGUUAUGUGCCAGCUGCUGUGUUCAUUUCUGGAGACGUGAAAACAAACAGGGCAAUGGUCCCAUCUCCUAAGGUAUUCUCAAUCAUUUAGGGGAACCAGAGGGCCAAACAGUUGGAGCCGUGAUGGAGCAAUGCUGCCCUGGUGGAGAAACCUGUUCCAGAGCCUCUUUUUCAGAAUCACGGAAGACCUUCACCACCUCCCUUUAAACACAGGGCAGUUGUCCAUAUAGCAAACCCCUGGCUUACAGGGUGAUGGGAUCUACCGUGAGGCCUUUUGGAGGAGUUGUCAGGAGCGUGGGGGUCUUGGAGUCGAUCAGAUCCUGGAUCGGGAUUCUGGCUCCGCUAACUCCAAAUUGUGUACCCUCAGCAAGUUUCUUCAGGCAGACGGUAAUAGUGCCUGCUUCGUGAAGCAGAACGUUAAAGCUUUAAAGUGCACACGAAUCACCUGGGGGAUCUUGUUAAAAAUGCAGAUUCUGAUUCAGGAGGUCUGGGCUGCAGCUCAGACAACAAGCUCCCAGAUAGCGUCAAUGCUGCUCAUCCGAGGACCACACUUUGAAUAGAAAGACCAUAGGGACGCCUGGGUGGCUCGGUGGUUGAGCGUCCGCCUUCAGCUUGGGGUGGGAUCUAGUCCCACAUGGGGCUCCCUGCAUGGGGCCUGCUUCUCCCUCUGCCUGUG
Long non-coding RNA from Nyctereutes procyonoides (raccoon dog), 1731 nucleotides. RefSeq lists it as uncharacterized. The record is from RefSeq and is a predicted model, not a curated record. The transcript is spliced from 4 exons. Lineage: Eukaryota; Metazoa; Chordata; Mammalia; Carnivora; Canidae.